RNAcentral lists this transfer RNA (86 nucleotides) under bacterium. Its description in RNAcentral is "tRNA-Leu". It matches the Rfam family "tRNA". Rfam says of the family: Transfer RNA (tRNA) molecules are approximately 80 nucleotides in length. Their secondary structure includes four short double-helical elements and three loops (D, anti-codon, and T loops). Further hydrogen bonds mediate the characteristic L-shaped molecular structure. tRNAs have two regions of fundamental functional importance: the anti-codon, which is responsible for specific mRNA codon recognition, and the 3' end, to which the tRNAs corresponding amino acid is attached (by aminoacyl-tRNA synthetases). tRNAs cope with the degeneracy of the genetic code in two manners: having more than one tRNA (with a specific anti-codon) for a particular amino acid; and 'wobble' base-pairing, i.e. permitting non-standard base-pairing at the 3rd anti-codon position. The record is from RNAcentral.
GCCGAAGUGGCGGAAUGGCAGACGCGACGGUCUCAAAAACCGUUGGGCAGUAGCCCGUGUGGGUUCGACUCCCACCUUCGGCACCA